GUGUGGGGUCUUUAUAUAUUUUGGAUAUUAACUCCUUAUCACAUAUAUGGUUCAUGAAUCUGUUCUCCUAAUCUGUAGGCUGCCUAGUUUGCUGAUUGUUUCUUUUGCUGUGCAAAACCUUUUUAAUUUGAUGUUGUCUCACCUGUUUAUUUUUACUUAUGUUGCCAAAGCUUUUUGUGUGAUGUCCAAAAAAAUCGCUGCCAAUGCUGAUGUCAAGGAUCUUUUUCUUUAUGUUUUCUUCUAGGAGUUUCACAGUUUCAGAUCUUAUGUUUAGGUCCUUAAUCCAUUUUCAGUUGAUUUUUGUAAAAAAUAUGAAGAAAGCAG
Long non-coding RNA from Sapajus apella (tufted capuchin), 324 nucleotides. RefSeq lists it as uncharacterized. The record is from RefSeq and is a predicted model, not a curated record. NCBI's taxonomy places the organism in Eukaryota, Metazoa, Chordata, Mammalia, Primates, Cebidae. The transcript is spliced from 3 exons.